This 465-nucleotide ribosomal RNA is filed under the name uncultured bacterium. Its description in RNAcentral is "partial 16S ribosomal RNA". It matches the Rfam family "Bacterial small subunit ribosomal RNA", at positions 28 to 507 of the family's 1533-position model. The record is from RNAcentral.
GAUGAACGCUGGCGGCGUGCUUAACACAUGCAAGUCGAACGGAAAGGCUCCUGCUUGCAGGGGUACUCGAGUGGCGAACGGGUGAGUAACACGUGGGUGAUCUGCCCUGCACUUCGGGAUAAGCCUGGGAAACUGGGCCUAAUACCGGAUAGGACGAUGGUUUGGAUGCCAUUGUGGAAAGUUUUUCGGUGUGGGAUGAGCUCGCGGCCUAUCAGCUUGUUGGUGGGGUAAUGGCCUACCAAGGCGUCGACGGGUAGCCGGCCUGAGAGGGUGGACGGCCACAUUGGGACUGAGAUACGGCCCAGACUCCUACGGGAGGCAGCAGUGGGGAAUAUUGCACAAUGGGCGCAAGCCUGAUGCAGCGACGCCGCGUGGGGGAUGACGGCCUUCGGGUUGUAAACUCCUUUCGCUAGGGACGAAGCGCAAGUGACGGUACCUAGAGAAGAAGCACCGGCUAACUACGUG